This 72-nucleotide transfer RNA is filed under the name Bos taurus (domestic cattle). It matches the Rfam family "tRNA". From Rfam's summary of the family: Transfer RNA (tRNA) molecules are approximately 80 nucleotides in length. Their secondary structure includes four short double-helical elements and three loops (D, anti-codon, and T loops). The record is from Rfam by way of RNAcentral. Lineage: Eukaryota; Metazoa; Chordata; Mammalia; Artiodactyla; Bovidae. RNAcentral also lists the same sequence under 3 other names.
UCCUUGGUGGCUCAGAUGGUAAAGAAUCUGCCUGCAGUGCAGAAGACCCAGGUUCAAUCCCUGGGUCAGGAA